UACGUAGGGUGCGAGCGUUAAUCGGAAUUACUGGGCGUAAAGCGUGCGCAGGCGGUUGUGCAAGACAGAUGUGAAAUCCCCGGGCUUAACCUGGGAAUUGCAUUUGUGACUGCACGGCUAGAGUGUGUCAGAGGGAGGUGGAAUUCACGUGUAGCAGUGAAAUGCGUAGAUAUGUGGAGGAAUACCGAUGGCGAAGGCAGCCUCCUGGGAUAACACUGACGUCGAUGCACGGAAAGCGUGGGGAGCAAACAG
Molecule: ribosomal RNA, 252 nt
Filed under: uncultured bacterium
Lineage: Bacteria
Description: partial 16S ribosomal RNA
Rfam family: Bacterial small subunit ribosomal RNA
Source: RNAcentral